This 253-nucleotide ribosomal RNA is filed under the name uncultured bacterium. RNAcentral's name for it is "partial 16S ribosomal RNA". It matches the Rfam family "Bacterial small subunit ribosomal RNA", at positions 524 to 776 of the family's 1533-position model. The record is from RNAcentral.
UACGUAGGGUGCAAGCGUUGUCCGGAAUUAUUGGGCGUAAAGAGCUCGUAGGCGGCUUGUCACGUCGACUGUGAAAACCCGGGGCUCAACUCCGGGCCUGCAGUCGAUACGGGCUGGCUUGAGUGCGGUAGGGGAGACUGGAAUUCCUGGUGUAGCGGUGAAAUGCGCAGAUAUCAGGAGGAACACCGGUGGCGAAGGCGGGUCUCCGGGCCGUAACUGACGCUGAGGAGCGAAAGCGUGGGGAGCGAACAGG